GAUUCUGCUUUCUAUUGUAGGGUGUUUGGGGUGGAUAUAUCGUUGCCGGGGAUUGGUUCAAAUGUUGAUCUUGGCCAUUUUUGUGACCUUUCUUCACCAUUGAGGGUAUUUCUGUUAUUUUCCACGUGAAACGAGACAGUAAGGCUCUGAGGGACUGCGUGUGGUGUUAGGACAGCUGACGGCCCUUGGCUGCCUUGGUGUUUUGUGGAUAAGGGAAAGGGGAAGUUUUCCCCAGCCACUCAUGUUACGAGCUUGCAAGUUACCUAAUUUUCCUGCAGCUGUAUUAGGCUGUCCAUCUGUAAGCAAGUCUCCUUGUAGAUCUGUAUAAUCACUGUUUCCUUCAGGACCUGUGAUGGAAAAAUCUAGUACUGGCCAGCCGAUGGGCCUGUAAUGAGAAGAGAGUGGACCCGGAAUUAGCUGUCCAGACCUGCCAGAUGAGUAAGUGCAACCUUAUGUUAUGUGGGGCCACAAAUGCUGGGAGGAGGGUAGCAUCCAUCCCAUCAGCUGUAACAUUAUUUAACAUGGUGUUGAAAUGUCUUCCCUGAGUCUCUAAGAUCGGAACUUCCAACAAUGUCAGGAUCACUCCCUGAGCGCUGCUCAGACACUGUUUCUAAUCGAUGUCUGUAACUAGUCAGUGGCAUCUUUUUCCAGUUCACCGUGAGUGCCAUUAUUACAGACGUACUGAAUUUAUUAGAAUGUCACAUUUCCAAAAAGCCUGAUCUUGCCAUUUUCACAUCAGAGCUCUGAUCUGUCUUUUUAUCCUUUUGGAAAACACUUGUAAUACCAGGCAGAAGCAGGCUGGACUGGAUGGGAUUGUGAAAAACAAACUUCAGGAAUCCAGAGACUGUGGGAGUGCUGUUUUUUUCAGGGCCAGCAAAUUACCUCAGAUAUUACUGGCCUUCUUGGAAACCAGCCUCAUUAAUCCUGCUAUGAUGCCAAGAGGUAGCCCAGCAACUCACACUUUGCCUUGCUCUGAGCAACUUUCUUUUCUGGCCAUCUCCGACGCCUUAUGCCGAAGCUGAUGUGGCUCAGCACCAAGUUCAGGCACCAAGACGGUGCUUGUUAACUGGCAAUGCGGAAAAGGUCUCCUCUCUUUCAUUGUCUGUGUAAAGUUACUUCUUUCCUGGGCAGUGGUUAAUUUGUUGAAAAUGUGUGGAAGAGUUUUCACAGUUGGGGUGGGGGGAAAGCGCUAAAUAGAAAUGUGAACUCUUCCAAGGUGCAUUCAGAGACACUUCUAACCUCUAGUUUCAUAGAAACCUUGGGCUCCUCUGUUGCUCUAUUAGCACGGGUUUUAUCCAGAAGGAGGCAUCACAGAACCUGAAUUUCAUUCACCAAAGGUUAAAAGAAAAUCCACAUUUCCUUGUGUAUGGAAACUAAAGUGUGUAGUCUUUAGAGGGCAUGUUUAAAGACUUUUUGUUUAUCCCUGUAAUUGGUGAAAUUACUUUAAAGCUGUGAAAGAUGGGGGUGGUGAUAGUUUCCUACUCAGUGAAAACCUGAAGCCUGAGAUACUUAGAAAAACCUGUCCUAGGCCCAUGUUCCUUCACCAAGUGACAUGAUGGUGAUCAAAACUGGCUUAUUUCCUAGUCAAAACAGUUGUGAAACUUAAGAAUAACUGUGAGGCCUUCUUCCCUUCCGUACACACUUGUUCCCACUGCCCAUCAAAGU
Molecule: long non-coding RNA, 1665 nt
Filed under: Bos indicus x Bos taurus (hybrid cattle)
Lineage: Eukaryota; Metazoa; Chordata; Mammalia; Artiodactyla; Bovidae
Description: lncRNA (ENSBIXG00005004146.1)
Source: RNAcentral